CCUACGGGAGGCAGCAGUGGGGAAUCUUGCACAAUGGGGGAAACCCUGAUGCAGCGACGCCGCGUGAGCGAUGAAGCCCUUCGGGGUGUAAAGCUCUUUCGGCAGGGACGAUCAUGACGGUACCCGUAGAAGAAGCCCCGGCUAACUCCGUGCCAGCAGCCGCGGUAAUACGGGGGGGGCAAGCGUUGUUCGGAAUUACUGGGCGUAAAGAGUGUGUAGGCGGUGCUCUAAGUCUGUCGUGAAAUCUCCCGGCUUAACUGGGAGGGUGCGGCGGAAACUGGAGUGCUCGAGGAUGGGAGAGGAAAGCGGAAUUCCCGGUGUAGCGGUGAAAUGCGUAGAUAUCAGGAGGAACACCGGUGGUGUAGACGGCUUUCUGGACCGUAACUGACGCUGAAACACGAAAGCGUGGGUAGCAAACAGGAUUAGAUACCCUGGUAGUCCACGCCCUAAACGAUGCAUAUUUGGUGUGGGUCAUUCAUUUGAUCCGUGCCGGAGCUAACGCGUUAAAUAUGCCGCCUGGGGAGUACAGUCGCAAGGCUGAAACUCAAAGGAAUUGACGG
Molecule: ribosomal RNA, 560 nt
Filed under: uncultured bacterium
Lineage: Bacteria
Description: bacterial SSU rRNA
Rfam family: Bacterial small subunit ribosomal RNA
Source: RNAcentral